UGGGUCUAAUACCGGAUAUGACUGACCGUCGCAUGGUGGUUGGUGGAAAGCUUUUUUGUGGUUUUGGAUGGACUCGCGGCCUAUCACCUUGUUGGUGAGGUAAUGGCUUACCAAGGCGACAACGGGUAGCCGGCCUGAGAGGGUGACCGGCCACACUGGGACUGAGACACGGCCCAAACUCCUACGGGAGGCAGCAGUGGGGAAUAUUGCACAAUGGGCGCAAGCCUGAUGCAGCGACGCCGCGUGAGGGAUGACGGCCUUCGGGUUGUAAACCUCUUUCAGUAGGGAAGAAGCGAAAGUGACGGUACCUGCAGAAGAAGCGCCGGCUAACUACGUGCCAGCAGCCGCGGUAAUACGUAGGGCGCAAGCGUUAUCCGGAAUUAUUGGGCGUAAAGAGCUCGUAGGCGGUUUGUCGCGUCUGCCGUGAAAGUCCGGGGCUCAACUCCGGAUCUGCGGUGGGUACGGGCAGACUAGAGUGAUGUAGGGGAGACUGGAAUUCCUGGUGUAGCGGUGAAAUGCGCAGAUAUCAGGAGGAACACCGAUGGC
RNAcentral lists this ribosomal RNA (546 nucleotides) under Arthrobacter sp. RNAcentral describes it as "bacterial SSU rRNA". It matches the Rfam family "Bacterial small subunit ribosomal RNA", at positions 158 to 716 of the family's 1533-position model. Lineage: Bacteria; Bacillati; Actinomycetota; Actinomycetes; Micrococcales; Micrococcaceae. The record is from RNAcentral.